RNAcentral lists this ribosomal RNA (305 nucleotides) under uncultured bacterium. Its description in RNAcentral is "bacterial SSU rRNA". It matches the Rfam family "Bacterial small subunit ribosomal RNA", at positions 335 to 657 of the family's 1533-position model. The record is from RNAcentral.
GGCCCUACGGGGGGCAGCAGUGGGGAAUAUCGCACAAUGGGGGAAACCCUGAUGCAGCGACGCCGCGUGAGUGAAGAAGUAUCUCGGUAUGUAAAGCUCUAUCAGCAGGAAAGAUAAUGACGGUACCUGACUAAGAAGCCCCGGCUAACUACGUGCCAGCAGCCGCGGUAAUACGUAGGGGGCAAGCGUUAUCCGGAUUUACUGGGUGUAAAGGGAGCGUAGACGGCAGCGCAAGUCUGGAGUGAAAUGCCGGGGCCCAACCCCGGGACUGCUCUUGGAACUGCGUGGCUGGAGUGCAGGAGGGG